GAUGAACGCUGGCGGCAUGCCUAAUACAUGCAAGUCGAACGAGAGGAAGGAAAGCUUGCUUUCCUGAAUCUAGUGGCGAAUGGGUGAGUAACACGUAGGUAACCUGCCCAUGUGCCCGGGAUAACUUCUGGAAACGGAUGCUAAAACCGGAUAGGUAGCAGACAAGCAUUUGACUGCUAUUAAAGUGGCCUUGGCCAUGAACAUGGAUGGACCUGCGGUGCAUUAGCUAGUUGGUAAGGUAACGGCUUACCAAGGCGAUGAUGCAUAGCCGAGUUGAGAGACUGAUCGGCCACAAUGGAACUGAGACACGGUCCAUACUCCUACGGGAGGCAGCAGUAGGGAAUCUUCCACAAUGGGCGCAAGCCUGAUGGAGCAACACCGCGUGAGUGAAGAAGGGUUUCGGCUCGUAAAGCUCUGUUGUUGGAGAAGAACGUGCGUGAGAGUAACUGUUCACGCAGUGACGGUAUCCAACC
Molecule: ribosomal RNA, 473 nt
Filed under: uncultured bacterium
Lineage: Bacteria
Description: bacterial SSU rRNA
Rfam family: Bacterial small subunit ribosomal RNA
Source: RNAcentral